Molecule: RNase P RNA, 411 nt
Filed under: Merismopedia sp. SIO2A8
Lineage: Bacteria; Bacillati; Cyanobacteriota; Cyanophyceae; Synechococcales; Merismopediaceae
Also listed under: 1 other name
Description: RNase P RNA component class A
Rfam family: Bacterial RNase P class A
About the family: Ribonuclease P (RNase P) is a ubiquitous endoribonuclease, found in archaea, bacteria and eukarya as well as chloroplasts and mitochondria. Its best characterised activity is the generation of mature 5'-ends of tRNAs by cleaving the 5'-leader elements of precursor-tRNAs. Cellular RNase Ps are ribonucleoproteins.
Source: RNAcentral
GAGAGGAGGCGCAGGCAGUUGCAGACAGUGGCGAUUGACCCUGUCUGAGGAAAGUCCGGGCUCCCGAAAGACCAGACUUGCUGGGUAACGCCCAGUGCGGGUGACCGUGAGGAUAGUGCCACAGAAACAUACCGCCGAUGGCUGAUAGAAGCACUAGAUAGCUUCUAUUUGUACAGGUAAGGGUGCAAAGGUGCGGUAAGAGCGUCACCAGCAGUAUCGAGAGGUGCUGGCUCGGUAAACCCCGGUUGGGAGCAAGGCACAAUGGAACUAUGGUUGGUCUUUUACCAGUUUCACUCAAUAGAACCGCUUGAGGUGUCUGGUAACAGACAUCCCAGAUAGAUAACUGCCCUCUAAGUUAGUCUAAAGACUACUGUAGGAGAACAGAACCCGGCUUAUGACCUGCUCUCUCCC